CAGUAGCCGCGGUAAUACGGAGGGGGCUAGCGUUGUUCGGAAUUACUGGGCGUAAAGCGUACGUAGGCGGCUUUGUAAGUUAGAGGUGAAAGCCCGGGGCUCAACCCCGGAAUUGCCUUUAAGACUGCAUCGCUUGAAUCGCGGAGAGGUGAGUGGAAUUCCGAGUGUAGAGGUGAAAUUCGUAGAUAUUCGGAAGAACACCAGUGGCGAAGGCGGCUCACUGGACGCGUAUUGACGCUGAGGUACGAAAGCGUGGGGAGCAAAUGGGAUUAGAUACCCCCGUAGUCCCUGUCUCUUAUAC
This 301-nucleotide ribosomal RNA is filed under the name uncultured bacterium. RNAcentral's name for it is "partial 16S ribosomal RNA". It matches the Rfam family "Bacterial small subunit ribosomal RNA", at positions 509 to 807 of the family's 1533-position model. The record is from RNAcentral.